Molecule: long non-coding RNA, 1000 nt
Filed under: Monodelphis domestica (gray short-tailed opossum)
Lineage: Eukaryota; Metazoa; Chordata; Mammalia; Didelphimorphia; Didelphidae
Description: lncRNA (ENSMODG00000047633.1)
Source: RNAcentral
UUCUCAAAGUCAUUGGGGGCUCCCUCUGCCCGUCUUCCCAGCUCCCAGCGCCAAGCGAAGGAUCCCGCCCAACCUCUCUUAUUGGAUUCUCUAUGUCCUAGAGGAAGGAUCCCAUUGGCUGCUGCCGUUGUCUGUAUUAACGGUUCCUCGCGCCAGUCUGUAGUUCCGCCCCGGCCGCGCUGAACAGUCACCUGACCUUAAUCCUAGAGAGGUUGAUUGGCUAAUAGGCCCGUCCUGUAACGGUUCAUCUCGCGCGGGGAGAAUAGCGAGCCCACCUUUUCAUCCUUUUCAUUGGUCUGUAACCCCUCCCCUUGGCCUCUAAUUGGAAAGUGGAACCAUCAGUUAAGGCAAUUUUCGGAGGCGCGGCUGAAGAGAAAAUCUCGCGAGGAACUAUUCUUUCACCUCCUUCACUCUUCCUUCAUCUCGUCUGGUGUCUGAAUAGAGAAUUUAAAUCUGGUUGGGCGCCUACAAGGAACCUGAUAGGCUUCAAGGCGUGUCAAUCAAGAUGUGAAGCCUUCAAUUUCCCACCUUAAAGGGAAAGGCUCUGCGACCGAAGGAGGAGACUGAAGGUGAAGAACUGAGCGCGCGGUUGCGUGGUGACGUUGCAAGCGCCUGGGGCUUUGAGCGCGUUUGGCCGCGCCCUUGGCGCGCGGUCUCUGGGGUAUACAGGAAAAAAAGAGAAGAAGGUCUGGAAGAAGGCCUUGGAGGAAACCCACAGAAAAUGGUUAUUAUCUGGAGGGAGAUCCAGGAAAGGAGACUGAGAGUCAUCAUACAGCUUAUGAGGGGCACCCUAGGAAAUCCUGUGCCCCAGCUGCUCCUUCACCAGUCAGGCCACCUGCUCAUCCACACCUCUGUGAACUGACCUCUGUCAUCUGGAGCCAGUCUAGAUCAUUAACAAGAGAAACAUCAAGCCCUGAUCUAUAGUGCAGAUUUCCAAGGUGUUGAUAAUUUUAACAACCAGCUGUCAGAGGUGCCACUUCUCUACGGAUGGGAGAAAGGG